GAUGAACGCUGGCGGCGUGCCUAAUACAUGCAAGUCGAGCGAACAGAUAAGGAGCUUGCUCCUUUGACGUUAGCGGCGGACGGGUGAGUAACACGUGGGUAACUUACCUAUAAGACUGGAAUAACUCCGGGAAACCGGGGCUAAUGCCGGAUAACAUGUUGAACCGCAUGGUUCUACAGUGAAAGGCGGCUUUGCUGUCACUUAUAGAUGGACCCGCGCCGUAUUAGCUAGUUGGUGAGGUGACGGCUCACCAAGGCAACGAUACGUAGCCGACCUGAGAGGGUGAUCGGCCACACUGGAACUGAGACACGGUCCAGACUCCUACGGGAGGCAGCAGUAGGGAAUCUUCCGCAAUGGGCGAAAGCCUGACGGAGCAACGCCGCGUGAGUGAUGAAGGUCUUCGGAUCGUAAAACUCUGUUAUUAGGGAAGAACAAAUGCGUAAGUAACUGUGCGCGUCUUGACGGUACCUAAUCAGAAAGCCACGGCUAACUACGUGCCAGCAGCCGCGGUAAUACGUAGGUGGCAAGCGUUAUCCGGAAUUAUUGGGCGUAAAGCGCGCGUAGGCGGUUUUUUAAGUCUGAUGUGAAAGCCCACGGCUCAACCGUGGAGGGUCAUUGGAAACUGAAAAACUUGAGUGCAGAAGAGGAAAGUGGAAUUCCAUGUGUAGCGGUGAAAUGCGCAGAGAUAUGGAGGAACACCAGUGGCGAAGGCGGUUCUCUGGGCCUUUCCUGACGCUGAGGAGCGAAAGCGUGGGGAGCGAACAGGCUUAGAUACCCUGGUAGUCCACGCUGUAAACGGUGGGUACUAGGUGUGGGGUCCAUUCCACGGGUUCCGUGCCGUAGCCAACGCUUUAAGUACCCCGCCUGGGGAGUACGGCCGCAAGGCUAAAACUCAAAGGAAUUGACGGGGCCCCGCACAAGCGGCGGAGCAUGCGGAUUAAUUCGAUGCAACGCGUAGAACCUUACCUGGGUUUGACAUGGAUCGGGAGUGCUCAGAGAUGGGUGUGCCUCUUUUGGGGUCGGUUCACAGGUGGUGCAUGCCUGUCGUCAGCUCGUGUCGUGAGAUGUUGGGUUAAGUCCCGCAACGAGCGCAACCCUUGUUCACUGUUGCCAGCACGUUAUGGUGGGGACUCAGUGGAGACCGCCGGGGUCAACUCGGAGGAAGGUGGGGAUGACGUCAAGUCCUCAUGCCCCUUAUGUCCAGGGCUUCACGCAUGCUACAAUGGCUGGUACAGAGAGUGGCGAGCCUGUGAGGGUGAGCGAAUCUCGGAAAGCCGGUCUCAGUUCGGAUUGGGGUCUGCAACUCGACCUCAUGAAGUCGGAGUCGCUAGUAAUCGCAGAUCAGCAACGCUGCGGUGAAUACGUUCCCGGGGCU
RNAcentral lists this ribosomal RNA (1375 nucleotides) under uncultured bacterium. RNAcentral describes it as "partial 16S ribosomal RNA". It matches the Rfam family "Bacterial small subunit ribosomal RNA", at positions 28 to 1381 of the family's 1533-position model. The record is from RNAcentral.